This 423-nucleotide ribosomal RNA is filed under the name uncultured bacterium. RNAcentral describes it as "bacterial SSU rRNA". It matches the Rfam family "Bacterial small subunit ribosomal RNA", at positions 207 to 622 of the family's 1533-position model. The record is from RNAcentral.
AAGACCUUGCGCUUUUGGAGCGGCCGAUGUCUGAUUAGCUUGUUGGUGAGGUAAARGCUUACCAAGGCUUCGAUCAGUAGCUGGUCUGAGAGGACGACCAGCCACACUGGGACUGAGACACGGCCCAGACUCCUACGGGAGGCAGCAGUGGGGAAUUUUGGACAAUGGGGGCAACCCUGAUCCAGCCAUGCCGCGUGAGUGAAGAAGGCCUUCGGGUUGUAAAGCUCUUUCAGCCGGAACGAAACGGUUACGGUUAAUACCCGUGACUACUGACGGUACCGGAAGAAGAAGCACCGGCUAACUACGUGCCAGCAGCCGCGGUAAUACGUAGGGUGCGAGCGUUAAUCGGAAUUACUGGGCGUAAAGCGUGCGCAGGYGGUUUUGUAAGUCAGAUGUGAAAUCCCCGGGCUCAACCUGGGAACU